RNAcentral lists this transfer RNA (77 nucleotides) under Chromatiales bacterium (ex Bugula neritina AB1). RNAcentral describes it as "tRNA-Arg". It matches the Rfam family "tRNA". From Rfam's summary of the family: Transfer RNA (tRNA) molecules are approximately 80 nucleotides in length. Lineage: Bacteria; Pseudomonadati; Pseudomonadota; Gammaproteobacteria; Chromatiales. The record is from RNAcentral.
GCGCCCCUAGCUCAGCUGGAUAGAGCGUGCCCCUCCUAAGGGCGAGGUCGCAGGUUCGAAUCCUGCGGGGCGCACCA